Molecule: long non-coding RNA, 266 nt
Filed under: Elaeis guineensis (African oil palm)
Lineage: Eukaryota; Viridiplantae; Streptophyta; Magnoliopsida; Arecales; Arecaceae
Description: long non-coding RNA (EGUI_LNC031198)
Source: RNAcentral
GCCCUACCAUGGAUCGCCGCAGUCCAGACAUGAUUUAUCAUGGCGUAUGCACAUUUGUGCACGAUCCAAUGAUGGAAAGCAUCAUAGGCAUGAUCCGACAGUUCUAGUGGUGAGUGGGCAUGAUCCGAUGGGCAAAAGCAUGAUCGAGUGAUUCAAAGAAACAUGCAGAAGUGAUAAGAUGGUCUAGAUAUUUUUGAAGUUUGAUCAGGACUAUGAUUUCGAUCUGAAUUAAAUUUUGUCUCUAUAAAGGAUGUCUAACCGCCUGU